Sinocyclocheilus rhinocerous is the source of this 240-nucleotide long non-coding RNA. RefSeq lists it as uncharacterized. NCBI's taxonomy places the organism in Eukaryota, Metazoa, Chordata, Actinopteri, Cypriniformes, Cyprinidae. The transcript has 2 exons. The record is from RefSeq and is a predicted model, not a curated record.
CAGCCAAACAGGGAGAAUCGGACCCUGAGAGGAAGGAGACGCGACAGAAAGUGGACGAUGACAGGAAACACGAGAUUGAGGCGGCUAUCGUUCGGAUCAUGAAGUCCAGAAAGAAGAUGCAGCACAAUGUUCUAGUAGCAGAGGUAACCCAGCAGCUGAAGGUGCGAUUCCUUCCCAGUCCUGUGGUCAUUAAAAAGCGUAUUGAAGGACUUAUCGAGAGAGAAUACUUGGCAAGAACAC